UACGGGGGGGGCAAGCGUUGUUCGGAAUUACUGGGCGUAAAGGGCUCGUAGGCGGCCAACUAAGUCAGACGUGAAAUCCCCAGGCUCAACCUGGGAACUGCGUCUGAUACUGGAUGGCUUGAAUCCGGGAGAGGGAUGCAGAAUUCCAGGUGUAGCGGUGAAGUGCGUAGAUAUCAGAAGGAACAUCAGUGGCGAAAGCGGCUUCCUGGACCAGAACUGACGAUCAGGCUCGAAAGCGUGGGGAGCGAACCGG
This 253-nucleotide ribosomal RNA is filed under the name uncultured bacterium. RNAcentral's name for it is "partial 16S ribosomal RNA". It matches the Rfam family "Bacterial small subunit ribosomal RNA", at positions 524 to 776 of the family's 1533-position model. The record is from RNAcentral.